Molecule: non-coding RNA, 304 nt
Organism: Pelobates cultripes (western spadefoot toad)
Lineage: Eukaryota; Metazoa; Chordata; Amphibia; Anura; Pelobatidae
Source: the annotation of a GenBank genome assembly
UCCAUAUGUCCGUGUACCUAUUCAAGGAGUUGGGUGUGGUCAUAAUGAGUUCCUCUAUGGCUCUGAGUUCCUCCAUUUGGGAGAACCAGGAUGUCAACGGGGGUGUCGUUUGUUGCUUCCAGAAUUGAGGGAUCACCUGUUUGGCAACGUUUAGGAUUCUAAUGGUUAGUGAGUGCUUGUAUCUCGUUCUAGGUGACUUUGUAUGGUGAAGGAGCAUGUGUUCUGGGAGGAAGGGGGGUGGCGUGUCUGAGAAGGUUUUGAGAAAGCCAUGUAUACCCCACCAGAAGGGCUUUAUGGCUUCGCA